This 458-nucleotide ribosomal RNA is filed under the name uncultured bacterium. RNAcentral's name for it is "bacterial SSU rRNA". It matches the Rfam family "Bacterial small subunit ribosomal RNA", at positions 8 to 469 of the family's 1533-position model. The record is from RNAcentral.
AGAGUUUGAUCCUGGCUCAGAUUGAACGCUGGCGGAAUGCUUUACACAUGCAAGUCGAACGGCAGCACGGGGGCAACCCUGGUGGCGAGUGGCGAACGGGUGAGUAACACAUCGGAACGCGUCCUGUAAUGGGGGAUAACCUGGCGAAAGCCAGGCUAAUACCGCAUACGUCCUGAGGGAGAAAGCGGGGGAUCGCAAGACCUCGCGUUAUAGGAGCGGCUGAUGUCGGAUUAGCUAGUUGGUGGGGUAAAGGCCUACCAAGGCGACGAUCCGUAGCGGGUCUGAGAGGACGGCCCGCCACACUGGGACUGAGACACGGCCCAGACUCCUACGGGAGGCAGCAGUGGGGAAUUUUGGACAAUGGGCGCAAGCCUGAUCCAGCCAUUCCGCGUGAGUGAAGAAGGCCUUCGGGUUGUAAAGCUCUUUCGGCCGGGAAGAAAUCGUACGGGCCAAUACCC